CGGUAGAGGAUGGGGAUGCGUUCCAUUGGGCAGUUGGCGGGGUAACGGCCCACCAAACCUUCGAUGGAUAGGGGUUCUGAGAGGAAGGUCCCCCACAUUGGAACUGAGACACGGUCCAAACUCCUACGGGAGGCAGCAGUGAGGAAUAUUGGUCAAUGGGCGAGAGCCUGAACCAGCCAAGUAGCGUGAAGGAUGACCGCCCUAUGGGUUGUAAACUUCUUUUAUAUGGGAAUAAAGUCUGCCACGUGUGGCAUUUUGUAUGUACCAUAUGAAUAAGGAUCGGCUAACUCCGUGCCGGCAGCCGCGGUAAUACGGAGGAUCCGAGCGUUAUCCGGAUUUAUUGGGUUUAAAGGGAGCGUAG
Molecule: ribosomal RNA, 361 nt
Filed under: uncultured bacterium
Lineage: Bacteria
Description: bacterial SSU rRNA
Rfam family: Bacterial small subunit ribosomal RNA
Source: RNAcentral